This 119-nucleotide non-coding RNA is filed under the name bovine gut metagenome. RNAcentral's name for it is "Moco (molybdenum cofactor) riboswitch". It matches the Rfam family "Molybdenum/Tungsten riboswitch aptamer (Moco RNA motif)", at positions 11 to 122 of the family's 135-position model. The record is from RNAcentral. RNAcentral also lists the same sequence under 1 other name.
AAACAUGUCUUCGAGCCCCUGUUCCUGUGGCUGUGCUAUGGAACCCGGGCCGCAUCGGGAAUCCCGGUUCAGGGCACUGCCGGAAACGGCGGUACCUUCCGCAUUUGAAAAGGAGACAC